CAACUUUCAGCAACGGAUCUCUUGGCUCUCGCAUCGAUGAAGAACGCAGCGAAAUGCGAUAAGUAAUGUGAAUUGCAGAAUUCAGUGGAUCAUCGAAUCUUUGAACGCACCUUGGGCUCCUUGGUAUUCCGAGGAGCAUGCCUGUUUGAGUGUCAUGA
This 158-nucleotide ribosomal RNA is filed under the name Trametes sp. RNAcentral describes it as "5.8S ribosomal RNA". It matches the Rfam family "5.8S ribosomal RNA". Rfam says of the family: 5.8S ribosomal RNA (5.8S rRNA) is a component of the large subunit of the eukaryotic ribosome. Lineage: Eukaryota; Fungi; Basidiomycota; Agaricomycetes; Polyporales; Polyporaceae. The record is from RNAcentral.